CCAGGAUGUUGGCUUAGAAGCAGCCAUUCAUUUAAAGAGUGCGUAAUAGCUCACUGGUCAAGUGGUCCUGCGCCGAAAAUUCAACGGGGCUGAAGCCUAUCACCGAAACUUGGAUAGUAGUCUUAAAAGAUUACUAGGUAGGAGAGCGUUCCCUGGCGGUGGAAGUAAGACCGAAAGGACUUAUGGACGGCAGGGAAGUGAGAAUGCCGGUAUGAGUAGCGAUAAGGCAGGUGAGAAUCCUGCCCGCCGAAAACCUAAGGGUUCCUGAGGAAGGGUCGUCCGCUCAGGGUAAGUCGGGACCUAAGCUGAGGGCGAAAGCCGUAGGCGAUGGACAAUCGGUUGAUAUUCCGAUACCACCCUGGAACCGCCCAUGGGAAUCAUAAGUUCUGAGUUAUAGCUUCGGUUAUGGCAAAGGGGUUAUGAGGACCAAGCGAUGGGGUGACGCAGAAGGGUAAGCCAUCAGGCGACUGGAAGAGCCUGUCUAAGGGUGUAGGAGGUGGCAUAGGCAAAUCCGUGCCACAUAUACUCCGAGGCCUAAUGGGGACGUGAAAUUGUAGUAACGGAACUGGCUGACCCCAUGCUGCCAAGAAAAGCCUCUAGCGAGGGGCCGGGGUGCCCGUACCGCAAACCGACACAGGUAGGUGGGGUGAGAAUCCUAAGGCGCGCGAGAGAACUCUCGUUAAGGAACUCGGCAAAUUGACCCUGUAACUUUGGAAGAAAGGGUGCCCUGAUAGUGUGGUAUAGGCAUGCCUUAUGCUGCAUGAGAGGGCCGCAGAGAAAAGGCCCAAGCGACUGUUUAUCAAAAACACAGGUCUCUGCUAAGUCGAAAGACGAUGUAUAGGGGCUGACGCCUGCCCAGUGCCGGAAGGUUAAGGGGAAGGGUUAGCGCAAGCGAAGCUCUGAACCGAAGCCCCGGUGAACGGCGGCCGUAACUAUAACGGUCCUAAGGUAGCGAAAUUCCUUGUCGGGUAAGUUCCGACCCGCACGAAUGGCGUAACGACUUGGGCGCUGUCUCAACGAGAGGCUCGGCGAAAUUAUAAAUACCCGUGAAGAUGCGGGUUACCCGCGACAAGACGGAAAGACCCCGUGGAGCUUUACUGUAGCCUGAGAUUGGAUUUUGGUAUGUUAUGUACAGGAUAGGUGGGAGGCUGGGAAAGGGUGACGCCAGUUGCCCUGGAGCCGAUGUUGGGAUACCACCCUUAAUGUGCUGGAGUUCUAACCCUUAUCCGUAAUCCGGGUGGGGGACAUUCUCUGGUGGGCAGUUUGACUGGGGCGGUCGCCUCCCAAAAGGUAACGGAGGCGCCCAAAGGUUCCCUCAGCGCGGUUGGAAAUCGCGCUCGUAGAGUGCAAAGGCAUAAGGGAGCUUGACUGCGAGAGCAACAACUCGAGCAGGAUGGAAACAUGGGCUUAGUGAUCCGGUGGCACUGCGUGGAAGGGCCAUCGCUCAACGGAUAAAAGCUACCCCGGGGAUAACAGGCUGAUUUCCCCCAAGAGUCCACAUCGACGGGGAAGUUUGGCACCUCGAUGUCGGCUCGUCGCAUCCUGGAGCUGGAGCAGGUUCCAAGGGUUGGGCUGUUCGCCCAUUAAAGCGGCACGCGAGCUGGGUUCAGAACGUCGUGAGACAGUUCGGUCCCUAUCUGUCGUGGGCGCAGGAGAUUUGAGGGGAGCCGUCCCUAGUACGAGAGGACCGGGAUGGAUGUACCGAUGGUGUACCAGUUAUUCCGCCAGGAGUAUAGCUGGGAAGCUAAGUACAGAAGGGAUAAGCGCUGAAAGCAUCUAAGCGCCAAGCCCACCCCAAGAUGAGAUCUCCCACGGAUUAGUCCGGUAAGACCCCAGAGAGAUUAUCUGGUGGAUAGGCCGGCGGUGUAAGGAUAGCGAUAUCUUCAGCUAGCCGGUACUAAUAGGUCGAGGGCUUGACCU
Molecule: ribosomal RNA, 1920 nt
Filed under: activated sludge metagenome
Description: bacterial LSU rRNA
Rfam family: Bacterial large subunit ribosomal RNA
Source: RNAcentral